CGUAGGUGCGAGCGUUGUCCGGAAUUACUGGGCGUAAAGGCGUCGUAGGUGGUUUGUCGCGUCGUCUGUGAAAUUCCGGGGCUUAACUCCGGGCGUGCAGGCGAUACGGGCAUAACUUGGGUACUGUAGGGUAACGUGGAAUUCCUGGUGUAGCGGUGAAAUGCGCAGAUAUCAGGAGGAACACCGAUGGCGAAGGCAGGUUACUGGGCAGUUACUGACGCUGAGGAGCGAAAGCAUGGGUAGCGAACAGGAUU
RNAcentral lists this ribosomal RNA (254 nucleotides) under uncultured bacterium. RNAcentral's name for it is "partial 16S ribosomal RNA". It matches the Rfam family "Bacterial small subunit ribosomal RNA", at positions 526 to 779 of the family's 1533-position model. The record is from RNAcentral.